AAGCCCCUGAUCCAGCCAUGCCGCGUGUGUGAAGAAGGCCCUCGGGUUGUAAAGCACUUUCAGCGGGGAAGAAGGCGUGGCGGUUAAUACCCGCCACGAAGGACAUCACCCGCAGAAGAAGCACCGGCUAACUCCGUGCCAGCAGCCGCGGUAAUACGGAGGGUGCAAGCGUUAAUCGGAAUUACUGGGCGUAAAGGGCGCGUAGGCGGCCUGUCACGCCGGGUGUGAAAGCCCCGGGCUCAACCCGGGAACGGCAUCCGGAACGGGCAGGCUCGAGUGCAGGAGAGGAAGGUAGAAUUCCCGGUGUAGCGGUGAAAUGCGUAAAGAUCGGGAGGAAUACCAGUGGCGAAGGCGGCCUUCUGGACUGACACUGACGCUGAGGCGCGAAAGCAUGGGUAGCAAACAGGAUUAGAUACCCUGGUAGUCCAUGCCGUAAACGAUGUCGACCAGCCGUUGGCCUCCUCGAGAGGCUGGUGGCGCAGUUAACGCGCUAAGUCGACCGCCUGGGGAGUACGGCCGCAAGGCUAAAACUCAAAUGAAUUGACGGGGGCCCGCACAAGCGGUGGAGCAUGUGGUUUAAUUCGAUGCAACGCGAAGAACCUUACCUGCUCCUUGACAUCCUGCGAAUCCUGGAAGAGAUUCCGGGGUGCCUCUCGGGAACGCAGAGACAGGUGCUGCAUGGCUGUCGUCAGCUCGUGUUGUGAAAUGUUGGGUUAAGUCCCGUAACGAGCGCAACCCCUAUCCCCAUUUGCCAGCGGUCCGGCCGGGAACUCUGGGGAGACUGCCGGUGACAAACCGGGAGGAAGGUGGGGACGACGUCAAGUCAUCAUGGUCCUUUA
This 839-nucleotide ribosomal RNA is filed under the name Kushneria phosphatilytica. RNAcentral's name for it is "16S ribosomal RNA". It matches the Rfam family "Bacterial small subunit ribosomal RNA", at positions 377 to 1205 of the family's 1533-position model. The record is from RNAcentral. Lineage: Bacteria; Pseudomonadati; Pseudomonadota; Gammaproteobacteria; Oceanospirillales; Halomonadaceae.